RNAcentral lists this ribosomal RNA (70 nucleotides) under Mammaliicoccus sciuri. Its description in RNAcentral is "Staphylococcus sciuri partial 16S ribosomal RNA". It matches the Rfam family "Bacterial small subunit ribosomal RNA", at positions 1 to 68 of the family's 1533-position model. RNAcentral also lists the same sequence under 3 other names. The record is from RNAcentral. Lineage: Bacteria; Bacillati; Bacillota; Bacilli; Caryophanales; Staphylococcaceae.
CUUUUAUGGAGAGUUUGAUCCUGGCUCAGGAUGAACGCUGGCGGCGUGCCUAAUACAUGCAAGUCGAGCG